GGGAGGUAGUGACAAUAAAUAACAAUACAGGGCUCUUAUGGGUCUUGUAAUUGGAAUGAGUACAAUUUAAAUCCCUUAACGAGGAACAAUUGGAGGGCAAGUCUGGUGCCAGCAGCCGCGGUAAUUCCAGCUCCAAUAGCGUAUAUUAAAGUUGUUGCAGUUAAAAAGCUCGUAGUUGAAUUUCGGGAUUCUACCGUUGGUCGGGCUAACAAGUCUGUACUGGUGUGUAGAAUUUCUACCUUCUGGGGAACUAUCAUGUUAUUAAUUUAGCGUGGUGGGAAACCAGGACCUUUACCUUGAAAAAAUUAGAGUGUUCAAAGCAGGCUUACGUCUGAAUACAUUAGCAUGGAAUAAUAGAAUAGGACGGUGGUCCUGUUUUGUUGGUUUCUGAAUCACCGUAAUGAUUAAUAGGGAUAGUUGGG
This 422-nucleotide ribosomal RNA is filed under the name uncultured Gigasporaceae. Its description in RNAcentral is "SSU rRNA". It matches the Rfam family "Eukaryotic small subunit ribosomal RNA", at positions 459 to 886 of the family's 1831-position model. The record is from RNAcentral. Lineage: Eukaryota; Fungi; Glomeromycota; Glomeromycetes; Diversisporales; Gigasporaceae.